Molecule: ribosomal RNA, 406 nt
Filed under: uncultured bacterium
Lineage: Bacteria
Description: bacterial SSU rRNA
Rfam family: Bacterial small subunit ribosomal RNA
Source: RNAcentral
UGGGGAAUAUUGGGCAAUGGAGGCAACUCUGACCCAGCAACGCCGCGUGAGGGAAGAAGGUUUUCGGAUUGUAAACCUCUGUCCUUGGGGACGAAGAAAGUGACGGUACCCAAGGAGGAAGCCCCGGCUAACUACGUGCCAGCAGCCGCGGUAAUACGUAGGGGGCGAGCGUUGUCCGGAAUUACUGGGCGUAAAGGGUGCGUAGGCGGUUUUUUAAGUCAGAUGUGAAAUCCCCGGGCUUAACUCGGGUGGUGCAUUUGAAACUGGGAGACUAGAGUGCAGGAGAGGGAAGCGGAAUUCCUAGUGUAGCGGUGAAAUGCGUAGAUAUUAGGAGGAACACCAGUGGCGAAGGCGGCUUUCUGGACUGUAACUGACGCUGAGGCACGAAAGCGUGGGGAGCAAACAG